CGGGGCGUAGCGCAGCCUGGUAGCGCACCUGCCUUGGGCGCAGGUGGUCGGCGGUUCAAAUCCGCCCGCCCCGACCA
This 77-nucleotide transfer RNA is filed under the name Acidobacteriota bacterium. RNAcentral's name for it is "Acidobacteria bacterium tRNA-Pro". It matches the Rfam family "tRNA". Rfam says of the family: Transfer RNA (tRNA) molecules are approximately 80 nucleotides in length. Their secondary structure includes four short double-helical elements and three loops (D, anti-codon, and T loops). RNAcentral also lists the same sequence under 2 other names. Lineage: Bacteria; Pseudomonadati; Acidobacteriota. The record is from RNAcentral.